AUUGAACGCUGGCGGCAGGCCUAACACAUGCAAGUCGAACGAGUGGCGGACGGGUGAGUAAUGUCUGGGAAUCUGCCUGAUGGAGGGGGAUAACUACUGGAAACGGUGGCUAAUACCGCAUACUAUCGGAUGUGCCCAGAUGGGAUUAGCUAGUAGGUGGGGUAACGGCUCACCUAGGCGACGAUCCCUAGCUGGUCUGAGAGGAUGACCAGCAACACUGGGACUGAGACACGGGCCAGACUCCUACGGGAGGCAGCAGUGGGGAAUAUUGCACAAUGGGCGCAAGCCUGAUGCAGCCAUGCCGCGUGUAUGAAGAAGGCCUUCGGGUUGUAAAGUACUGUCAUGGGGGAGGCGUUACUCGCAGAAGAAGCACAGGCUAACUCCGUGCCAGCAGCCGCGGUAAUUC
RNAcentral lists this ribosomal RNA (406 nucleotides) under uncultured bacterium. RNAcentral describes it as "partial 16S ribosomal RNA". It matches the Rfam family "Bacterial small subunit ribosomal RNA", at positions 30 to 526 of the family's 1533-position model. The record is from RNAcentral.